GCACUAUAGCGGAAUAUGCAAAAUGAUGCAAACUAGAUAGCAACAGAGUAAACCUCACACAGAAUGCUAGCUAGAAUACGUAAAAAGGUGUACAAAAUAAACAAGAGAGAGGGAGGUACCAACUCCCGGUGGAAAAACCUGAAAGUAGGCUUUGAUAUGCCCGAGGUCAACUGCUACCAACUCUUGCACGUCCCAGCCGGUGUUGUUUAGCUCCUCACUCCCAAACGCUGCAAAGUGGCCUCGCCGCCGCGGCUAGUACCUGGGGCAAGUUUUCCUGAAGCUUAUCGGAACGGUUAGUUCUGCUGCGUCUUGCCGAAAAUCUGAACGGGAGUCGUCAGAAGUACUGUAGCUUGCCAAAAAUCCUCGCCGGAAAAAUAAGGCACCUACUUGAAAUCAAAGCCCAGCUAAGAGCAGUCAACAGACCCAACAAUAAACAACAAACAACUCUGUUAGGAGAAUUUUUCUUCAAUAUAGCAGUGAAACAAAAAUCAGUAAAUACACACUCCUCAAUUCCAGAAUCCGAUGAGAAUGAACAACAAGAUCAAAAGAAAAAUUUUCGGCUAGAACUCGAGAUGGAGCAACGAAUAAUAGAAAACAGUCAACAACGAUUUCAGCAACAACAGUCCUUUAAUAGCUAGAUCUAAACUCGCAAAAUUCGAUAGAUUGCACAGAUAAGCGAAGAAAUCUGUGAAAUCUUCCAAAUUCAUGUUUUUAAAAAAAAUCCUUUUCAACCAGAUUUUUAUUUGUUCUUACGACUUUUGAUUUUCAGAUCAAGUUUCGGAUCUGGCGAUGUUGCAGAAACAAAAACCUGAACUUGGAGCAGAGCAACCUGUGUUAGUGAAAUUACAAUUUCAAAAAUAAUUAGAAAUAAUUUUUGAUAAAAAUCUAUUGUAAAUAUUUUUGGAUUGUCGAUAUAAUUUGAAAAAACUACUACUGAAAUAUAUAUCAGAUUGUGUUUUUAGUUUUCUCUUCAACACCAAUACGUUGAAGACAUCGAAAAAUCUCUACACUUCAGAACUCAAAAAAAGUCAACAAACUCAAAAACAUAUUUGGUCCAAACCCAGUUUCAGAUCCGAGAACAACAACAAAAUUUAUUGUAAAAGGGAAGUUUUUCCAACACAUUAUACUUCAAAGACUCAAAUAAUACGCCGAUUCAAAAAAAAAAAGGUGAUGAUAGUAUUUUUUGAUCAAUUUGGAUUUGUUUUGACGGGUAUAAGAUUAAAUCCUGCAUAUAUUAAGCUAAGCAUGAAUAGUUUGUGAAAAUUAUGAAGAAUUUUGGAGAUUUAUAGAGUGAAAUUGAGUAGAAAUCGGGUCUGAUUUUGCUAUGCUAGGUUUUACCCGAUCUAGAAUUCCAGAUUAGGAAAUUGAAGCGUAAUACUGUUCAUUUUGUUCCAUGUACUCCCUUGGUAAUCAAAACUUUACAGAUCCACCCCCAUGUUUUUUUUCCCUCUUUUUUUAUUACUUAUAGUUUGUUAUUUAAUAAGGUAUUAAAAUCGAUCAAAUUGCUAAUCAUUUUUUUAAAAUUUUCGUCGAUACAAAUCGUAAAACACGCUUAAGACUAAACUUUAUGAAUUACCAACAAUAAUAGGUAGAAAAGUCACGGUUUUGGCUAAAAAUAUAGCGACCACCGCAAUCCAACCUACUAUUUUUAUCCAUAGGCUUAUUUCUUGAGUAAUUGGUGCCUGAAAUCAAUCCUAAAACACGUUUACGUAGAAAUUUUGUACUUUUCUUUGAUCAAAAUAGUAAAAAAAGAAGAAAAAAGUGUUAGAUCAAGAAAAACUUGUUUCUACUGCACCCGGAUUGGGCUGACCCCCGAAAUGCAGAAGAAGGGAUGCCGUGUGGCCUGCCUAAGCCCAGUCAUGACUGUGGAGAGUUUCGGCGAGUGUGGCCUUCCC
RNAcentral lists this long non-coding RNA (1895 nucleotides) under Nicotiana benthamiana. RNAcentral's name for it is "long non-coding RNA (NBEN_LNC025263)". The record is from RNAcentral. Lineage: Eukaryota; Viridiplantae; Streptophyta; Magnoliopsida; Solanales; Solanaceae.